GAUGAACGCUGGCGGCGUGCCUAAUACAUGCAAGUCGAGCGAACAGACGAGGAGCUUGCUCCUCUGACGUUAGCGGCGGACGGGUGAGUAACACGUGGAUAACCUACCUAUAAGACUGGGAUAACUUCGGGAAACCGGAGCUAAUACCGGAUAAUAUAUUGAACAGCAUGGUUCAAUAGUGAAAGACGGUUUUGCUGUCACUUAUAGAUGGAUCCGCGCCGCAUUAGCUAGUUGGUAAGGUAACGGCUUACCAAGGCAACGAGGCGUAGCCGACCUGAGAGAGUGCUCAGCCACACAGGAACUGAGACACGGCCCAGACUCCUACGAGAGGCAGCAGUAGGGAAUCUUCCGCAAUGGACGAAAGCCUGACGGAGCAACGCCGCGUGAGUGAUGAAGGUCUUCGGAUCGUAAGACUCUGUUAUUAGGGAAGAACAAAUGUGUAAGUAACUAUGCACGUCUUGACGGUACCUAAUCAGAAAGCCACGGCUAACUACGUG
Molecule: ribosomal RNA, 497 nt
Filed under: uncultured bacterium
Lineage: Bacteria
Description: partial 16S ribosomal RNA
Rfam family: Bacterial small subunit ribosomal RNA
Source: RNAcentral